Amblyraja radiata (thorny skate) is the source of this 177-nucleotide long non-coding RNA. RefSeq lists it as uncharacterized. The record is from RefSeq and is a predicted model, not a curated record. The transcript is spliced from 3 exons. Lineage: Eukaryota; Metazoa; Chordata; Chondrichthyes; Rajiformes; Rajidae.
AUCCUUAAACUACUACCUUCAGCCAUUACAUCUUAUGCUCGUUCCAUGGAUGGGGUGGACAUGACCACAAACCAGCAAGACACAUUAGCUCUGCUGUGCAACACCCAAUACGAGAUAAACAACCUCCGUAAGGAGAUAAUAAGACCUGCCCUCAACCCCAAAUUUGCAGGAUUGUGC